This 484-nucleotide ribosomal RNA is filed under the name uncultured bacterium. RNAcentral's name for it is "partial 16S ribosomal RNA". It matches the Rfam family "Bacterial small subunit ribosomal RNA", at positions 30 to 507 of the family's 1533-position model. The record is from RNAcentral.
AUUGAACGCUGGCGGCAUGCUUUACACAUGCAAGUCGAACGGCAGCGCGGGCUUCGGCCUGGCGGCGCGUGGCGAACGGGUGAGUAAUACAUCGGAACGUGCCCAGUAGUGGGGGAUAGCUCGGCGAAAGCCGGAUUAAUACCGCAUACGACCUGAGGGUGAAAGCCGUGGAUCUUCGGACCUCGCGCUUUUUGAGCGGCCGAUGGCAGAUUAGCUAGUUGGUGGGGUAAAGGCCUACCAAGGCGACGAUCUGUAGCUGGUCUGAGAGGACGACCAGCCACACUGGGACUGAGACACGGCCCAGACUCCUACGGGAGGCAGCAGUGGGGAAUUUUGGACAAUGGGCGAAAGCCUGAUCCAGCAAUGCCGCGUGUGUGAUGAAGGCCUUCGGGUUGUAAAGCACUUUUGGCGGGAACGAAAAGGACUGUGCCAAUACCACGGUUCGAUGACGGUACCCGCAGAAUAAGCACCGGCUAACUACGUG